CUUUCUGGAGCCUACGUGCCACAUCAGCAACGUGGCGUGGAUGUGUGGAUCCACGUGGCGGUCUCGAGACGCUGGCUGUCGAGCUUUCUCUUGUCAGAGUCGGGCCGUAUUCGGGCUGAAGGCUGGGAGCCGGGAGUAAUAAUUCACACGCUGUAUUGAAUUCCUGAGUGAUCAUGCUGCUUUCUUCCACGGCUGUCUCCCCUGUUGCCUGAGGAGCUGCGUCUUCACGGACGGCCGGUUCUAUCGCAGAAGCGGGCUACUGCUGUUCUGUCUGUGGUUCAUCGCGGAGCUGUUGGGCCAGGUGGCUGGUGGCUGACUGAUUCCCCCGGCGGUGGUGGUCCCUUUACUCCCUGUACAGUAGUGCACUUGGGUGUCCGUCAGUGGUUUUGUUUUGUUCACGUGUGGUGUGGUGCAUCAGGACCCUUCUCCCCUUCAGUUAGUCAUCUCUGCCUGGUAAGCCCUCAG
Molecule: long non-coding RNA, 465 nt
Organism: Amphiprion ocellaris (clown anemonefish)
Lineage: Eukaryota; Metazoa; Chordata; Actinopteri; Pomacentridae
Source: Ensembl